UUACAUGGAUAUUUUCACACAUAUUCAUUUUGAAAUACGAACUCAAUAACAUAAGGUAUACUGUCUACAUUUCAUAUUCAUCUUAUUCUUUUGUGUAAGCAUAUAUAUGAUGUAAACUUCUUUUUCAGAGAGAGAGAGAGCGAGAGAGAGAGAGAGAGAGAGAGAGAGAGAGAGAGAGAGAGAGAGAGAGAGCUACAUAAGUAUUAUUUUCUUGGUAACAUAUUUUGAUAACUAUAAUACAUGUACAUGUAGAUCUAGAUAUGAUUUACAAUGUAUCUAUUGAUCAAACCAAACAACACACAAAAAGAAAAGAAAGAAAAAAGAAACACAAUCGUAUUUGAUGAAAAAGUACCUAUAGACCUACAUGUAUAUACUGAUCAUGCAUAUGAGUUUUCACAUAUUCUCUGCCAGUGAAUUUCAUAAUCAUCAUGUCUACAGUUUCUUAGCAGCAAGUACUUCUCAACCACAAUUCUGUUCGUAACUAUUUUUCUAAUCGCAGAUAUAUGUACUUGCGGACUAUUUUGAUAUUUACAAGAAAAUAUAUAUUGUUUUACUACAAGCAAAUCAAAUUUUGAAUGUCUAACUGUUGAUUUUUAUUAUACAUUUGUAGAAUCAAUAUUUUAUUUUUACUGACAUGCAUCCCGACUGAGAUAUUAAUUAUAGAAAAAGAAACUUAAGCAAUUACUUGAAUUUAGUAUGUAGUUCCUGUGUUUCAUCUAUCAUCUAAGGAUUUCAACGGUUUAGUUCAGUAAAAAUUGAGACUCCAGUAGUUAAGAAACCACUUUAAAUGAAAGUAGAUGGCUGAGGGGCACACGUACAUGUACAUGUGUUUACAAAUAUCCUUGACAAUUGCGAGGCGAAAUUAAUGUGUUGCUAAGAAAAAAGCAGUUCAUUCUUCAAAACAUUUCCAUGUAUUUGGUUAUCUCACAUGCAGAAUGUCCAGUCUUGUAUAUACCAUUGCUUUAUAGCUCAUAUUGUGAGAACAGAGAAAAGUCGGGCAGAAGAGGGGCACCUUAUAAUACCCCAUAAAGAUGCAGAAGAAAGUUUGUGUGACUGUAUGCUACACCGGUAUUGAGUUUAUUUCAUGAUUUUUAGACCUCUAAUAAACGUAAACUUUUCAUUAUAACACAACAUAAAGCACACUACAGAUUAUUUACAUUUAAAAUUGUAAACAAAGGGCGGCCAUUUUGAACUUAGAGUCGCAGGGACGCUAUUUAAAAAAAUUCUAUGAUAUAGAAAAACGAUGCAGAAAUUUAACACAUGCAUGAUUUUUUAAAUUCAGACGUUUGUGAAACAAUUUACACACAAAAUAAAUUAUAUAUCUAUAAAAGUAUGUUUUCCCAUAAAUCCUCUCCUGAUCGCUGAUUGGUUGUAAUUUUCGGCGGGCAAAAUUGAUUGUUGUUUGUGAGAGAAAACCUAGCGUGACUCAAAUGGAACCAUGUCAUGUUUUGAUUGAAUGGAAGAUCCAAAGAUUUUUCUGAGAAUAGGAGACGUCUACUGUUGUUGGGCAUCAUUCAGGUAUGUCUUUUAGAGGGUAUUGAGUAAAAAUUUCUGGAACUUUUUAAAACAAUCUUCCAUUAUGCAUCCUCACUGAAUAUUUUAGUAUGAGUCUGUCCAUAGCCAAUACUGGCAAUUGCCGUCUCAUUUAAACGAUUUUUGACGGGAUAUCAUGUUAUCUCUGACUAUACAAAUUUUCAUUUUCUCAUAAAAGAGCAAUGAUAUUUAAUAUUCAUUUCAUAAUCACAACAGACCACAUCAAAACAUGCUUGAUAUUCACCUUUUAGAAUUUUGAAUGCAAAAAAAAAAUAUUAAAAAAUAUCCUGUCCCGAUUCGGAAACAGGACGUUAUCUAACCUAUUCUUUCUCUCUAUAUAUCAUUGUAGGUAUUUCCGGUGUUGACUUGAAACGUUUUUAUUCACGAUGUUGUUGCGGAUUCAUCAUUGCAUUUGCAUGGGGUAGUGCAUAUGUUGUGUGUGGCCUUCUAAACGAUAAAUCUAUGGAUUAAAGGAUGAACAGGUCGAUGCAGGAAUAUUCAUUCUAAUGAUAAGGAAAUACGAAAUGCAAGGACAACCUCCAAGCAUGUAGUAUGCCUUAGAUCUAUACAAUGGUGGAAUGUUCCAUUAUAUGGUGGCGCCCAGUUUUUAUUGGUGGAAGAGAGAACCCAGAUACAAUGUACCUGGGAAGAGACCAUCAACCUUCCGAAAGUAAACUGGGAAACUUUCUCACUUAACGGCAUGAGUGGGAUUGAAACCCUCGCCAACAGAGAACUAGAUGAGCAGAAGAUGCAUUCCAUGACUGACUCCCCAUAUGAUAUGAAAGAGAGCCCAUGAGAAUGGAACCAACUUUCAGUGUUACAAUGGAUGAACACUCCUCCUGUCACAAGUCCAUCUUGAUUCAGUAAAGUGGUAGUCUAUUUAUCUAGGAAGCAACAAGACGGAUCUGGACAAGGACCAUAUUGACUCAAGUUUUGGUGUCAGAAGACCAUUUUGAUUAAACAUGUUAAAAGCACCACAGAAGUAAGAAGCUAGGAUACCAGUUUUAUAAACUAAAGAGUCGAAAGGCCCAGCUGGAGAGAAAUUCCCAUUUCUCGACCAAGGACAAAAAAAAAAAAAGAUUAAAAAGGUGCUGACUAAGGAGGCAACGUCUCCAGAAGUAACGGAUGAUGAGAAAGCCACCCAGAGGAAGGUCUUACCAUUUAUAUGGGAGUCAUCCCUGCUGCGUAAUGUUAAGUGCGACCUGGACAGAGAGUAUGCUGAAUCUUUGCAACUUCAAUCAAAUAGACAAAAAGCCAAGGCCAUUAGAAGUAGAACGGAAAUGACUAUGACCCCACCACCUAGGAGCAUUCAAGAGUGGACCGUUUCCUCUACUUAUAAAUGAUGCUAUUACUGUUAAUAGUUAUAUUUAAUUUCCUCAUUUCUAGCUCACCUGAGCCAAAGGCUCAAGGUCACAAUUAAUACUUUUAUACCAUUAUAACCAGUUUUUAUUAAAUUUUAAUAAUGCUGUUGAAGGAGAAUUGCAAUUUUUUGGAUGUUUAUAAUUGACACUGUUUAAGUAUGUCUAGCAUCUUAAAAAGUGAGAUGACCUAUAUAUUUCAUUUCAUAAUUUAUUAAUUUUAACUUAAAUUGAAAUAAAUGCAUUUUUGAUACUUUUAUCAGAGAAUAUUGCAAGUAUGGAGUUACCUUGAUAUAUUUAUACAGAUUUGUUCUGCUUUAGUACUAGUGUAUCAGUAUUAUUACAUCAAGUUCAUUUGUGUGAAUAUUAUAAUAUUUAAGAAUGAAUAAAACUGUCAAAUUGUG
Molecule: long non-coding RNA, 3295 nt
Organism: Ostrea edulis (European flat oyster)
Lineage: Eukaryota; Metazoa; Mollusca; Bivalvia; Ostreida; Ostreidae
Exons: 4
Source: RefSeq, a predicted model, not a curated record